Molecule: long non-coding RNA, 231 nt
Filed under: Elaeis guineensis (African oil palm)
Lineage: Eukaryota; Viridiplantae; Streptophyta; Magnoliopsida; Arecales; Arecaceae
Description: long non-coding RNA (EGUI_LNC053466)
Source: RNAcentral
CCCAUCGAAUAAAAAGAGAGAGCUUUAAAUCUUUCUUACUUUUAUGACCGGACGGCCUGAUGAUCAACCCAAUCCAAGUACUUGCCAAUCGGAUCAUCUAAUCUAAUCACAUAUCAUAUAUGCAUAAAUUUAGAUCUAAUCUAAAUUUUAUCAGAUCUGAUUAUAAUCUUAGAUCAUAUCUAAAUCAGAUCAUAAACAUCACAUGCAAUAUAUAAAAUAAGAUUUUAUCAA